Molecule: transfer RNA, 73 nt
Filed under: Ailuropoda melanoleuca (giant panda)
Lineage: Eukaryota; Metazoa; Chordata; Mammalia; Carnivora; Ursidae
Rfam family: tRNA
About the family: Transfer RNA (tRNA) molecules are approximately 80 nucleotides in length. Their secondary structure includes four short double-helical elements and three loops (D, anti-codon, and T loops). Further hydrogen bonds mediate the characteristic L-shaped molecular structure. tRNAs have two regions of fundamental functional importance: the anti-codon, which is responsible for specific mRNA codon recognition, and the 3' end, to which the tRNAs corresponding amino acid is attached (by aminoacyl-tRNA synthetases). tRNAs cope with the degeneracy of the genetic code in two manners: having more than one tRNA (with a specific anti-codon) for a particular amino acid; and 'wobble' base-pairing, i.e. permitting non-standard base-pairing at the 3rd anti-codon position.
Source: Rfam by way of RNAcentral
ACCCGGCUGGCUCAGUUGGGAGAGUGUGUGACUCUUAAUCUCAAGGUUGUGAGUUUGAGCCCCAUGUUGGGUG